Molecule: long non-coding RNA, 628 nt
Filed under: Anser brachyrhynchus (Pink-footed goose)
Lineage: Eukaryota; Metazoa; Chordata; Aves; Anseriformes; Anatidae
Description: lncRNA (ENSABRG00000014135.1)
Source: RNAcentral
CUGGAUGUCAUAUAUAAGGAUUUUUUUUUUGUUGGUGGUGGUUAUGGGGAGAGUGCCUAAGCAUUUUCAAUGUUGGAUACAUAAAGUCACUUUUAUAUUUCAGGUUAAGACAGGAACCACUCCGACAAGCUUUGUCAAUGAUUUGCUAUAGGUCAACAAUUUCUUCUAUAUUCAUCUAAUGCAAAAUUGUUAGCACUACUAUGCAUCCAUGCAUCCCAUGAGGAUGUGACAUACAGCCGCUGCUUACAGUGUUGGCACCAGUGGCAGAUAUUUUGAUAUCUGAGGCAAGUUUAUUGAAUUUAUAAGGGAACGUGGCCUUCAUGACAGUACUAGUGUAGCCCCAGAGUACCAGCUCAGCAUACUGCAUCAUUGUCACCCCUCGCCUUGGAACCAGGGCAUAAACACUUGGUGCCACGGUGCAAAUAGAGCCUGUCUCCUACCAGCCCUUCUGAGCAACAUAAACUCUUUGGUUGGUGCAAUAUCCUCCUGCAGACUAAGUCUCUGCUGCAUUUUUAAGGGCUGUGAACGAGCACCUUUGAUACUGCCACCAGAGGAUAAUGCAACAGUUCCUGGAUUUGUUGAUAUUGGCCAACCAGACUCAUUUGUGGUGAUAAGUUUUGUGGACUAG